This 292-nucleotide ribosomal RNA is filed under the name uncultured bacterium. RNAcentral describes it as "partial 16S ribosomal RNA". It matches the Rfam family "Bacterial small subunit ribosomal RNA", at positions 505 to 795 of the family's 1533-position model. The record is from RNAcentral.
GUGCCCGCAGCCGCGGUACUACAGAGGUCUCAAGCGUUGUUCGGAUUCAUUGGGCGUAAAGGGUGCGUAGGCGGCGCGGUAAGUCGGGUGUGAAAUCUCGGAGCUUAACUCCGAAACUGCAUUCGAUACUGCCGUGCUUGAGGACUGGAGAGGAGACUGGAAUUUACGGUGUAGCGGUGAAAUGCGUAGAUAUCGUAAGGAAGACCAGUGGCGAAGGCGGGUCUCGGGACAGUUCCUGACGCUGAGGCACGAAGGUCAGGGGAGCAAACGGGAGGAUCUACCAGCGGCUUAC